CCUACGGGAGGCAGCAGUGAGGAAUAUUGGUCAAUGGCCGGAAGGCUGAACCAGCCAUGCCGCGUGAAGGUCAGUGCCCUAUGGGCGUUAAACUUCUUUUGUGCGGGAGCAAUAAUGGUCACGUGUGGCCAGACGAGAGUACCGUACGAAUAAGCAUCGGCUAACUCCGUGCCAGCAGCCGCGGUAAUACGGGGGGUGCAAGCGUGAUCCGGAUUUAUUGGGGUUAAAGGGUGCGUAGGCUGUGAGGUAAGUCAGCGGUGAAAUGCCCCCGUUCAACGGGGUGAAGUGCCAUUGAUACUGCCUUGCUGGAAUGCGGAUGCCGUGGGAGGAAUGUGUGGUGUAGCGGUGAAAUGCAUAGAUAUCACACAGAACACCGAUUGCGAAGGCAUCUCACGAAUCCGCGAUUGACGCUGAUGCACGAAAGCGUGGGUAUCAAACAGGAUUAGAUACCCGUGUAGUC
RNAcentral lists this ribosomal RNA (460 nucleotides) under uncultured bacterium. RNAcentral's name for it is "partial 16S ribosomal RNA". It matches the Rfam family "Bacterial small subunit ribosomal RNA", at positions 338 to 795 of the family's 1533-position model. The record is from RNAcentral.